AUUGAACGCUGGCGGAAUGCUUUACACAUGCAAGUCGAACGGCAGCACGGACUUCGGUCUGGUGGCGAGUGGCGAACGGGUGAGUAAUGUAUCGGAACGUGCCCAGUCGUGGGGGAUAACGUAGUGAAAAUUACGCUAAUACCGCAUACGAUCUUUGGAUGAAAGCGGGGGAUCGCAAGACCUCGCGCGAUUGGAGCGGCCGAUAUCAGAUUAGGUAGUUGGUGGGGUAAAGGCCCACCAAGCCAACGAUCUGUAGCUGGUCUGAGAGGACGACCAGCCACACUGGAACUGAGACACGGUCCAGACUCCUACGGGAGGCAGCAGUGAGGAAUUUUGGACAAUGGGCGAAAGCCUGAUCCAGCCAUUCCGCGUGCAGGAUGAAGGCCCUCGGGUUGUAAACUGCUUUUGUACAGAACGAAAAGGUUUCUACUAAUACUAGGAGCUCAUGACGGUACUGUAAGAAUAAGCACCGGCUAACUACGUGCCAGCAGCCGCAGUAA
Molecule: ribosomal RNA, 500 nt
Filed under: uncultured bacterium
Lineage: Bacteria
Description: partial 16S ribosomal RNA
Rfam family: Bacterial small subunit ribosomal RNA
Source: RNAcentral